GUCUUAUUGAUUAUAAUUUUAAGUCUAAUCUGCCCAGUGAUUAUAAAUUAAAUGGCUGCAGUAUUUUAACUGUACAAAGGUAGCAUAAUAAUUAGUCUCUUAAUUAGGGACUAGAAUGAAAGAUUGAACGAGAUGAUAACUGUCUCUUAUUAAAUUGUAAAAUUUUAUUUUUAAGUUAAAAAGCUUAAAUAAGAUUAAAAGACGAGAAGACCCUAUAGAGUUUUAUAUUUAUUAUUAAUAUAAAUUUUAGUAUCCAAAUUUUAUUUUUUUUAUAAAAUAUUUAAUUGGGGUGAUUAAAAAAUUGAAAAAACUUUUUUAAAAAUUUUUCAUUGAUUUAUGAAUAGAUGAUCCAAUAAUUUUGAUUAUAAGAUUAAAUUACCUUAGGGAUAACAGCGUAAUUUUUUUUGAGAGUUCUUAUCGAAAAAAAAGAUUGCGACCUCGAUGUUGGAUUAAAAUAAAUUUUUGGUGUAGAAGCUAAAAAAGUAGGUCUGUUCGACCUUUAAAAUUUUACAUGAUCUGAGUU
This 523-nucleotide ribosomal RNA is filed under the name Speonemadus clathratus. RNAcentral describes it as "partial 16S ribosomal RNA". The stretch from base 386 to 523 matches the Rfam family "Bacterial large subunit ribosomal RNA", at positions 2473 to 2611 of the family's 2925-position model. The record is from RNAcentral. Lineage: Eukaryota; Metazoa; Arthropoda; Insecta; Coleoptera; Leiodidae.